GGGGAUGACGUCAAAUCAUCAUGCCCCUUAUGAUUUGGGCUACACACGUGCUACAAUGGCGUAAACAAAGGGAAGCGAGAUUGUGAGAUGGAGCAAAUCCCAAAAAUAACGUCCCAGUUCGGACUGUAGUCUGCAACCCGACUACACGAAGCUGGAAUCGCUAGUAAUCGCGGAUCAGAAUGCCGCGGUGAAUACGUUCCCGGGUCUUGUACACACCGCCCGUCACACCAUGGGAGUCAGUAACGCCCGAAGUCAGUGACCUAACUGCAAAGAAGGAGCUGCCGAAGGCGGGACCGAUGACUGGGGUGAAGUCGUAACAAGGUA
RNAcentral lists this ribosomal RNA (324 nucleotides) under unidentified low G+C gram-positive bacterium. RNAcentral describes it as "SSU rRNA". It matches the Rfam family "Bacterial small subunit ribosomal RNA", at positions 1175 to 1498 of the family's 1533-position model. The record is from RNAcentral. Lineage: Bacteria; Bacillati; Bacillota.